GUCGUACAAGGUUUCCGUAGGUGAACCUGCGGAAGGAUCAUUAAAAGUAUAUAGUUAUACAUUCUGUGUAUCGACUAAAUAUACCCAUUCUGAGUACCUUGCCUGUUGCUUCCAUGGAGCCUGACACAUGUCACUCUGGGGAUUUACAUCCCGAGGGAGCCUCCGUGGAAGGUAAUCAAUUAACUCUUGAAUCCAAUGUCAUCUGUCUGAUAAUGUUUAUAACAAAUGUUAAAACUUUCAACAACGGAUCUCUUGGUUCUCGCAUCGAUGAAGAACGCAGCGAAAUGCGAUAAGUAGUGUGAAUUGCAGAAUUCAGUGAAUCAUCGAAUCUUUGAACGCACAUUGCGCCUCCUGGUAUUCCGGGAGGCAUGCCUGUUCGAGCGUCAUUAAAUACCACUCAAGCUCUUCUGCUUGGUCAUGGAAGAAGAGUAUGCUUGCAUCCUCUCUUCUGAAAUCGAAUGGCGGACUGCCUCAUGUGCCUCGCGUAGUAAGUUCAUCUUUUCGCUUGGAGUGUGAGAUAGUCUCGCCAUCAACCCCCAUACUUCUAAGGUUGACCUCGGAUCAGGUAGGGAUACCCGCGGACU
RNAcentral lists this ribosomal RNA (584 nucleotides) under Wilcoxina rehmii. RNAcentral describes it as "eukaryotic LSU rRNA". The stretch from base 233 to 386 matches the Rfam family "5.8S ribosomal RNA". The record is from RNAcentral. Lineage: Eukaryota; Fungi; Ascomycota; Pezizomycetes; Pezizales; Pyronemataceae.